This is a long non-coding RNA of Armigeres subalbatus, 878 nucleotides long. RefSeq lists it as uncharacterized. The record is from RefSeq and is a predicted model, not a curated record. Lineage: Eukaryota; Metazoa; Arthropoda; Insecta; Diptera; Culicidae. The transcript is spliced from 5 exons.
ACCACAAUAUGACACAUGGGCCGCCCGCUUGACAUCGCAUUAAGUAGCAGCAAUUGUCUUGACAUCAGCAUUGUGAGCCUCGCUACCGAAGCCUCAUACUAAGCCCAAAUAGCACAGAAUAGUGUGUGCAGUGAUACGGUGAAGACACCCAACCUCCGUGUUCGACAACUCCGCAUAAUUUGUGUGGCACGAGAAAUUAAUCACCAUUGACGGUAAAAUAAACACCGUCAGUUAGCCAACAACGGACGAGUUGUUCGGAGACGAUCGCCACGUGUGCAAACAAUACUGGUCGACAUUUAGAUUAGUGGCACCAUUCGAUUUUCAUCCAAUCUCAAAGCAAUUGCACGUGGCUUUACCAGAACGCAUAGGUUUUGCAUGUGGGAUCGCAUGUAUCACUAGUACACGACUGCAUCGAUAGACGAGGGCAUUAUCAUUGCAAAGCGCACAGAAAGGCCUUCGCACAAUCAGAAGGCCUUUCUUCCCUUUGCUAAAUUCGCAGCAUCACAGACUGAGUCACGUGGCAUGCGAGCGGAGCUCAGCAGCACACACGAAAGAACCGGCACAUAUCGACCGUGAGGAUCAAGCCAGGCACCUGCACCACAGCGAACGAUUGGAAUAAUCGGCACAGCGGACAUAGAACGGUCACACUAUUGGGAAAAGUGUAGGCACCAAUAUCCAACUCGGACGACGGCAAGCGGUGCGAGGUGGCGGGAUCCAGCGGGCGGCGUGUGUCAUCAUUAGACUCACAACAGAGAUGGGCCCAUCGUGAGUAGAUCGAUAUAAAGAAAACAGCAUGCUAUUAGAGUAGUUAGAAUAGGCUGGUAAUAGGAAUAUGGUUCUGAUACGAUAAUAAAUCAAUAUCUAUUGUCAUGAUUUGA